UACGUAGGGUGCGAGCGUUGUCCGGAAUUAUUGGGCGUAAAGGGCUCGUAGGCGGUUUGUCGCGUCGGGAGUGAAAACCCAGGGCUUAACGUCUGGGCUUGCUUUCGAUACGGGCAGACUAGAGGUAUGCAGGGGAGAACGGAAUUCCUGGUGUAGCGGUGAAAUGCGCAGAUAAUCAGGAGGAACACCGGUGGCGAAGGCGGUUCUCGGGGCAUUACCUGACGCUGAGGAGCGAAAGUGUGGGGAGCGAACAGGG
RNAcentral lists this ribosomal RNA (256 nucleotides) under uncultured bacterium. RNAcentral's name for it is "partial 16S ribosomal RNA". It matches the Rfam family "Bacterial small subunit ribosomal RNA", at positions 524 to 777 of the family's 1533-position model. The record is from RNAcentral.